Molecule: ribosomal RNA, 403 nt
Filed under: uncultured microorganism
Description: bacterial SSU rRNA
Rfam family: Archaeal small subunit ribosomal RNA
Source: RNAcentral
GUGCAGCAGGCGCGAAACCUCCGCAAUACACGAAAGUGUGACGGGGUUACCCAAAGUGUCCAAAUUUGGACUGUGGUAGGUGAGUAAUGUCCCCUACUAGAAAGGAGAGGGCAAGGCUGGUGCCAGCCGCCGCGGUAAAACCAGCUCUUCAAGUGGUCGGGGAUAAUUAUUGGGCUUAAAGUGUCCGUAGCCGGUUUAGUAAGUUCCUGGUAAAAUCGGGUAGCUUAACUAUCUGUAUGCUAGGAAUACUGCUAUACUAGAGGGCGGGAGAGGUCUGAGGUACUACAGGGGUAGGGGUGAAAUCCUGUAAUCCUUGUAGGACCACCAGUGGCGAAGGCGUCAGACUGGAACGCGCCUGACGGUGAGGGACGAAAGCCAGGGGAGCGAACCGGAUUAGAUACCC